AGCGAACGCUAGCGGCGGGCUUAACACAUGCAAGUCGAGCGCAUCUCCUUCGGGAGGUGAGCGGCGAACGGGUGAGUAACACGUAGGUAACGUACCCUCUGGUGGGGAAUAACCCAGGGAAACUUGGGCUAAUACCGCAUGUGCCCUUCGGGGUGAAAGACUUCGGUUGCCAGAGGAUCGGCCUGCGGCCCAUUAUUUAAUCCUAGUUGGUAGGGUAACGGCCUACCAAGGGUACGAUGGGUAGCUGGUCUGAGAGGAUGAUCAGCCACACUGGGACUGAGACACGGCCCAGACUCCUACGGGAGGCAGCAGUGGGGAAUAUUGGACAAUGGGCGAAAGCCUGAUCCAGCCACGCCGCGUGAGUGAUGAAGGCCUCGGUU
RNAcentral lists this ribosomal RNA (380 nucleotides) under uncultured bacterium. RNAcentral's name for it is "bacterial SSU rRNA". It matches the Rfam family "Bacterial small subunit ribosomal RNA", at positions 29 to 424 of the family's 1533-position model. The record is from RNAcentral.